GACGUAGGAUGCAAGCGUUGUCCGGAAUUAUUGGGCGUAAAGAGUUCGUAGGUGGUUAUCUAAGUCUGGUGUUAAAGCCCGAAGCUCAACUUCGGCAUGGCAUUGGAAACUGGAUGACUAGAGUGUGGCAGAGGUAUCGGGAAUUCCUGGUGUAGCGGUGAAAUGCGUAGAUAUCAGGAGGAACACCGGCGGCGAAAGCGCGAUACUGGGCCAUAACUGACGCUGAGGAACGAAAGCCAGGGGAGCGAACGGG
Molecule: ribosomal RNA, 253 nt
Filed under: uncultured prokaryote
Description: partial 16S ribosomal RNA
Rfam family: Bacterial small subunit ribosomal RNA
Source: RNAcentral